Molecule: ribosomal RNA, 427 nt
Filed under: uncultured bacterium
Lineage: Bacteria
Description: partial 16S ribosomal RNA
Rfam family: Bacterial small subunit ribosomal RNA
Source: RNAcentral
UGGGGAAUAUUGCACAAUGGGCGCAAGCCUGAUGCAGCCAUGCCGCGUGUAUGAAGAAGGCCUUCGGGUUGUAAAGUACUUUCAGCGAGGAGGAAGGCGUUGUGGUUAAUAACCGCAGCGAUUGACGUUACUCGCAGAAGAAGCACCGGCUAACUCCGUGCCAGCAGCCGCGGUAAUACGGAGGGUGCAAGCGUUAAUCGGAAUUACUGGGCGUAAAGCGCACGCAGGCGGUCUGUCAAGUCGGAUGUGAAAUCCCCGGGCUCAACCUGGGAACUGCAUCCGAAACUGGCAGGCUAGAGUCUUGUAGAGGGGGGUAGAAUUCCAGGUGUAGCGGUGAAAUGCGUAGAGAUCGGGAGGAAUACCGGUGGCGAAGGCGGCCCCCUGGACAAAGACUGACGCUCAGGUGCGAAAGCGUGGGGAGCAAACA